CCAGACUCCUACGGGAGGCAGCAGUGGGGAAUAUUGCACAAUGGGCGAAAGCCUGAUGCAGCAACGCCGCGUGAAGGAAGAAGGCCUUCGGGUCGUAAACUUCUGUCCUUGGGGAAGAAGAACUGACGGUACCCAAGGAGGAAGCCCCGGCUAACUACGUGCCAGCAGCCGCGGUAAUACGUAGGUGGCAAGCGUUGUCCGGAUUUACUGGGUGUAAAGGGCGUGUAGCCGGGAAGGCAAGUCAGAUGUGAAAUCCGGAGGCUCAACCUCCGAAUUGCAUUUGAAACUGUUUUUCUUGAGUACUGGAGAGGCAGACGGAAUUCCUUGUGUAGCGGUGAAAUGCGUAGAUAUAAGGAGGAACACCAUUGGCGAAGGCGGUCUGCUGGACAGCAACUGACGGUGAGGCGCGAAAGCGUGGGGAGCAAACAGGAUUAGAUACCCCUGUAAAA
RNAcentral lists this ribosomal RNA (449 nucleotides) under uncultured bacterium. Its description in RNAcentral is "bacterial SSU rRNA". It matches the Rfam family "Bacterial small subunit ribosomal RNA", at positions 331 to 794 of the family's 1533-position model. The record is from RNAcentral.